AGCCAUGACUGUAGACUGUUACUGUACUUUGAUACUGUAUAAGCAGUAAGCAGUCUAAAGCCAAGGUGC
Molecule: microRNA precursor, 69 nt
Organism: Amphilophus citrinellus (Midas cichlid)
Lineage: Eukaryota; Metazoa; Chordata; Actinopteri; Cichliformes; Cichlidae
Source: Ensembl